GACCUCGUAGCUCAGUUGGCUAGAGCGUUGGCUUCCCCUUGCUGGCGUGGGUUCGAAUCCCACCGAGGGUG
Molecule: transfer RNA, 71 nt
Filed under: Schistocephalus solidus
Lineage: Eukaryota; Metazoa; Platyhelminthes; Cestoda; Diphyllobothriidea; Diphyllobothriidae
Rfam family: tRNA
About the family: Transfer RNA (tRNA) molecules are approximately 80 nucleotides in length. Their secondary structure includes four short double-helical elements and three loops (D, anti-codon, and T loops).
Source: Rfam by way of RNAcentral